This 466-nucleotide ribosomal RNA is filed under the name uncultured bacterium. Its description in RNAcentral is "bacterial SSU rRNA". It matches the Rfam family "Bacterial small subunit ribosomal RNA", at positions 334 to 793 of the family's 1533-position model. The record is from RNAcentral.
GCAUCCUACGGGAGGCAGCAGUGGGGAAUAUUGCACAAUGGGCGCAAGCCUGAUGCAGCCAUGCCGCGUGUAUGAAGAAGGCCUUCGGGUUGUAAAGUACUUUCAGCAGUGAGGAAGGUGGGUAUGUUAAUAGCAUACUCAUUUGACGUUAGCUGCAGAAGAAGCACCGGCUAACUCCGUGCCAGCAGCCGCGGUAAUACGGAGGGUGCGAGCGUUAAUCGGAAUUACUGGGCGUAAAGCGCAUGCAGGUGGUUUGUUAAGUCAGAUGUGAAAGCCCGGGGCUCAACCUCGGAAUUGCAUUUGAAACUGGCAAACUAGAGUACUGUAGAGGGGGUAGAAUUUCAGGUGUAGCGGUGAAAUGCGUAGAGAUCUGAAGGAAUACCGGUGGCGAAGGCGGCCCCCUGGACAGAUACUGACACUCAGAUGCGAAAGCGUGGGGAGCAAACAGGAUUAGAUACCCCGGUAG